RNAcentral lists this ribosomal RNA (512 nucleotides) under uncultured bacterium. RNAcentral's name for it is "partial 16S ribosomal RNA". It matches the Rfam family "Bacterial small subunit ribosomal RNA", at positions 29 to 522 of the family's 1533-position model. The record is from RNAcentral.
AACGAACGCUGGCGGCGUGCCUAACACAUGCAAGUCGAGCGCGAAUGGAGCAAUCCUAGUAGAGCGGCGCACGGGUGAGUAACACGUGGGUAAUCUGCCUGGAAGUCCGGGACAACCUGCCGAAAGGCUGGCUAAUACCGGAUAAGCCCACGGGGUCCUCGGAUCCCGAGGGAAAAGAUGGCCUCUGCAUGCAAGCUAUCCCUUCCAGAUGAGCCCGCGGCCCAUCAGAUCGUUGGCGGGGUAAUGGCCCACUAAGGCAACGACGGGUAGCUGGUCUGAGAGGACGAUCAGCCACACUGGAACUGAGACACGGUCCAGACUCCUACGGGAGGCAGCAGUGGGGAAUUUUGCGCAAUGGGCGAAAGCCUGACGCAGCAACGCCGCGUGUGUGAUGAAGGUCUUCGGAUCGUAAAGCACUUUCGACCGGGACGAAAACCCGCUGGCCAAUAUCCAGCGGUUUGACGGUACCGGGAGAAGAAGCACCGGCUAACUCUGUGCCAGCCGCCGCAGAA